Molecule: unclassified non-coding RNA, 117 nt
Organism: Pongo abelii (Sumatran orangutan)
Lineage: Eukaryota; Metazoa; Chordata; Mammalia; Primates; Hominidae
Rfam family: Metazoan signal recognition particle RNA
About the family: The signal recognition particle (SRP) is a universally conserved ribonucleoprotein. It is involved in the co-translational targeting of proteins to membranes.
Source: Ensembl
GCCGGGCGCGGUGGCUCACGCCUGUAAUCCCAGCACUUUAGGAGGCCGAGGCAGGUGGAUCACCUGAGGUCAGGAGUUCAAGACCAGCCUGGUCAACAUGGUGAAACCCUGUCUCUA